CCUGAGGAAGCGCUUUGUCCACAUCAGUAGAAAACGCUUCCCUGAGGACGUGAUUGGUGCUGAUGUGGACAAAGCGCUUCCUCAGGG
This is a microRNA precursor of Gossypium arboreum, 87 nucleotides long. It matches the Rfam family "MIR7486 microRNA precursor family". NCBI's taxonomy places the organism in Eukaryota, Viridiplantae, Streptophyta, Magnoliopsida, Malvales, Malvaceae. The record is from Rfam.